UACGAAGGGUGCAAGCGUUACUCGGAAUUACUGGGCGUAAAGCGUGCGUAGGUGGUUUGUUAAGUCUGUUGUGAAAGCCCCGGGCUCAACCUGGGAAUGGCAAUGGAUACUGGCAAGCUAGAGUGCGGUAGAGGGUAGUGGAAUUCCUGGUGUAGCGGUGAAAUGCGCAGAUAUCAGGAGGAACACCGGUGGCGAAGGCGCCACUCUGGGCCGGAACUGACGCUGAGGAGCGAAAGCGUGGGUAGCAAACAGG
RNAcentral lists this ribosomal RNA (253 nucleotides) under uncultured bacterium. Its description in RNAcentral is "partial 16S ribosomal RNA". It matches the Rfam family "Bacterial small subunit ribosomal RNA", at positions 524 to 776 of the family's 1533-position model. The record is from RNAcentral.